RNAcentral lists this ribosomal RNA (101 nucleotides) under uncultured bacterium. Its description in RNAcentral is "partial 16S ribosomal RNA". It matches the Rfam family "Bacterial small subunit ribosomal RNA", at positions 1384 to 1482 of the family's 1533-position model. The record is from RNAcentral.
CACACACCGCCCGUCACACCAUGGGUUAGUGGGUUGCACCAGAAGUAGCUAGUCUAACCUUCGGGGGGACGGUUACCACGGUGUGAUUCAUGACUGGGGUG